GGCCCUUGUGGUUGUAAAGCUCUGUCAGCAGGGAAUAACGCCGAAUAGCGAAUAACUAUCCGGUCUGAACGUACCUGCAGAGGAAGCUCCGGCUAACUCCGUGCCAGCAGCCGCGGUAAUACGGAGGGAGCGAACGUUGUUCGGAUUCACUGGGUGUAAAGGGUGCGUAGGCGGCUCAGUGUGUCAGAAGUGAAAUCUGCCGGCUCAACCGGACAAAUUGCUUCUGAAACUGCUGGGCUUGAGUCCGGAAGAGGAAGGUGGAAUUCCUGGUGUAACGGUGAAAUGUGCAGAUAUCAGGAAGAACACCGGUGGCGAAGGCGGCCUUCUGGUCCGGUACUGACGCUGAGGCACGAAAGCUAGGGUAUCGAACGGGAUUAGAUACCCCGGUAGUCCUAGCCGUAAACGAUGUCCACUAGGUGUUGGAGGUUCUACCCCUUCAGUGCCGGAGCUAACGUUUUAAGUGGACCACCUGGGGAGUACGCUCGCAAGGGUGAAACUCAAAGGAAUUGACGGGGGCCCGCACAAGCGGUGGAGCAUGUGGUUUAAUUCGAUGCAACGCGAAGAACCUUACCGGGGCUUGACAUCCAGGGGACAGGUGUAGAGAUACACCCUCCUUCGGGUCCUUGGACAGGUGCUGCAUGGCUGUCGUCAGCUCGUGUCGUGAAAUGUUGGGUUAAGUCCCGCAACGAGCGCAACCCUUGCCCUUAGUUGCCAGCAYGU
RNAcentral lists this ribosomal RNA (720 nucleotides) under uncultured bacterium. RNAcentral describes it as "bacterial SSU rRNA". It matches the Rfam family "Bacterial small subunit ribosomal RNA", at positions 413 to 1126 of the family's 1533-position model. The record is from RNAcentral.